UCCAUUAAGUUCCAAAACAGAAAAGAGAGAUACUUAACUGGGGGAAAGCCAGAUGUUGAACUCUCCACCGAUUCCAAAAACAUCAAGCAACUUGAAAGAUGGAUGGCUCUUCAGCUCUAGUUUCUGACUUUCCAUUUGGCAUUGGUCCUUGAACACGACAACAUAAUGAUGUUCUCAAUUCGGUGAUUUUCAAAUAUUUUAAUCCUAAUUAAAGCAUAAAGAAAAAGUUGCGUUAGCUGAGCUCGAAUGCCCGCCAAGUGUGAGAAAACUGUAUCUCAGCUGUAUGUACUGUUACACAGUGUUCUUGGAACUUCUCAUAUGUCAUUCUGUCUGUUCAUGUGCAAUCUGAUAACUAACUACAAUUAGCAAAUGAAAUAUUUAUAUAUGCUACCACGUAGUCAGUCCAUAUGUGCAAAAUAUUGCAAGAUCCUCAAGUAGCAUUUAGCAUCACCCACUGUUAUGUUAGUUUCCUGAAAUAGGAAACUAUGCUGUCUUAUGCAGUCUUAUGAAGUAUGCCCCCCAAGGAUGCAAUUUCCUUGCUUUGCGUGUUUGUGGUAGAGCUCAAGUCAUCCUCCAGUGAGGCGACUGGUUUGGCCUCUCACAAAAUUCAGCACCACCAGCCCACAGUUCUCUUUCCUUUUUCUCCGUGUUACUCUUGUGCUUCACCUACAAGCUACACCAUGUCCCAACGAGUAGUGUUCAUCCACGUGGGAUGAACACUAGCCAGUUACUACUUUAUUUAUAAAAAUUCCAGUCAUUGUCCGAGCACAACUGACUGACAGCACACACUGAGAACUUCGUAAAGGACUUUUAAACCUUCCACAGACACACAGUUUUUAACCAGCAUGUGAACAAUAUGAGAAGCUUGUUGACUUCUGAAAAAAUUGCCUGGAACUGAAAAUCCAUAAGUGGAAGGAAAGCAAGCCUCUGAUUCACUUGACUUAAAUCAAGGGACAUCCAACAGUUGAAGGAACGUGGGGCAGCUGCCCUCAAUGAAAUAUCGAUACAGGAAAUGAACAGUCCAGCAGCAUUCCAUGUAUUGAAAUACAAGCCAUUUCCACCAAGAUAACACUCAGUAAGCAACACAACAAAAGAGAAGACUCUGGGUUGAUCAUUGCAAUUCCUCAAGCAUCUCCUGGGUGAAGAGCUGGUUGUCCCAGGACACAUUGAAAAGACUAUUCUUUCCCUGUGGCGUGCCUGACACAUUGUGGAAAAUCAAUUGACUAUGGACAAAUGGAUUUAUUUUUGGACUCUGAAUUCUAUUGCAUGGAUUCAUUAGGGGAAAAAAUCUAUUUAUUAAAUGUAUGAUGAGAUAUAAAAGAAA
Phacochoerus africanus (Common warthog) is the source of this 1324-nucleotide long non-coding RNA. RefSeq lists it as uncharacterized. The record is from RefSeq and is a predicted model, not a curated record. NCBI's taxonomy places the organism in Eukaryota, Metazoa, Chordata, Mammalia, Artiodactyla, Suidae. The transcript has 3 exons.